Molecule: non-coding RNA, 105 nt
Organism: Pelobates cultripes (western spadefoot toad)
Lineage: Eukaryota; Metazoa; Chordata; Amphibia; Anura; Pelobatidae
Source: the annotation of a GenBank genome assembly
GUGCUCACUUUUGUACAUAUACGGAAAUUGGAAUGAUACUGAGAAGAUUAGCACGACCCCUGCGCAAGGAUGACAUGCACAAUUUGACAGGGAUUCUACAAGUUU